This 388-nucleotide ribosomal RNA is filed under the name uncultured bacterium. RNAcentral's name for it is "bacterial SSU rRNA". It matches the Rfam family "Bacterial small subunit ribosomal RNA", at positions 55 to 433 of the family's 1533-position model. The record is from RNAcentral.
AUGCAAGUCGAGCGAACCAAUGGGAGCUUGCUCCCUGAGGUUAGCGGCGGACGGGUGAGUAACACGUGGGUAACCUGCCUGUAAGAUUGGGAUAACUCCGGGAAACCGGAGCUAAUACCGGAUAACAUUUUGAACCGCAUGGUUCGAAAUUGAAAGAUGGUUUCGGCUAUCACUUACAGAUGGACCCGCGGCGCAUUAGCUAGUUGGUGAGGUAAUGGCUCACCAAGGCGACGAUGCGUAGCCGACCUGAGAGGGUGAUCGGCCACACUGGGACUGAGACACGGCCCAGACUCCUACGGGAGGCAGCAGUAGGGAAUCUUCCGCAAUGGACGAAAGUCUGACGGAGCAACGCCGCGUGAACGAUGAAGGCCUUCGGGUCGUAAAGUUC